RNAcentral lists this ribosomal RNA (408 nucleotides) under bacterium gwi19. Its description in RNAcentral is "bacterial SSU rRNA". It matches the Rfam family "Bacterial small subunit ribosomal RNA", at positions 84 to 505 of the family's 1533-position model. The record is from RNAcentral.
UGGGGGGAUUAGUGGCGAACGGGUGAGUAACACGUGAGUAACCUGCCCUUAACUCUGGGAUAAGCCUGGGAAACUGGGUCUAAUACCGGAUAUGACUCCUCAUCGCAUGGUGGGGGGUGGAAAGCUUUUUGUGGUUUUGGAUGGACUCGCGGCCUAUCAGCUUGUUGGUGAGGUAAUGGCUUACCAAGGCGACGACGGGUAGCCGGCCUGAGAGGGUGACCGGCCACACUGGGACUGAGACACGGCCCAGACUCCUACGGGAGGCAGCAGUGGGGAAUAUUGCACAAUGGGCGCAAGCCUGAUGCAGCGACGCCGCGUGAGGGAUGACGGCCUUCGGGUUGUAAACCUCUUUCAGUAGGGAAGAAGCGAAAGUGACGGUACCUGCAGAAGAAGCGCCGGCUAACUACG